Molecule: ribosomal RNA, 210 nt
Filed under: uncultured bacterium
Lineage: Bacteria
Description: partial 16S ribosomal RNA
Rfam family: Bacterial small subunit ribosomal RNA
Source: RNAcentral
UACGUAGGGUGCAAGCGUUUGUCCGGGAAUUAUUUGGGGCGUAAAAGAGCUCGUAGGCGGUCUGUCGCGCGGGCUGUGAAAAAACCCCGGGGGGCUCAAACCCCCCGGGGCCCUGCAGUGGAUCGGGGCUGGCUAGAGGCAGGCAGGGGGAGAACGGGAAAUUCCUGGUGUGCGGGUGAAAAUGCGCAGAUAUCAGGAGGAACACCGGUG